This is a long non-coding RNA of Triticum aestivum (bread wheat), 2740 nucleotides long. RefSeq lists it as uncharacterized. The transcript is spliced from 3 exons. Lineage: Eukaryota; Viridiplantae; Streptophyta; Magnoliopsida; Poales; Poaceae. The record is from RefSeq and is a predicted model, not a curated record.
AUGAUAAUACGCCUUCCAGUGGAAAUUCUCGAGAGGCCAAUAAAUCCCCCCAUGCUAGGGUUCGCCGCCAGAGGGCCUCUAACCGAAACCUGGUCUGGAUCAGGAAGGAGUUGGUAGAGAAGGGCGAGUUCUCUGCCGAUGACUGCCACCCUAUAGGGAGAUCAGAUCGGCUACCACCACCAAAGCAAUUCAGUUUUUUGAGAGAUCUGUGGUCUAGGCAGACUGGGCGAAUUGCGUUUGCGGAGGUUGUUAAGAAGAUGGCUGGCGGAGGAGGUCGAGAAAAUUCAAGGGGAGGAGGAAAAUAUGCGGCAGGAAGGGGGAGGAAUGAGUUGGGGAGACCUACAGCUCCAACGACCGUCCCCACUGUUCCUCCAGCUAGGCCCCGUGCGCAAAAUUCAGGCCCCCCUGUGAAUAUCUUCUCCAGACCACCGAUUGCGCCGCUGAUGCCUGGACCGAAUAUGGUUCCUCCCGGCCACAUGUUCCCUGGUUACCAUGGAGGGGGCUGGGGCAACCACUACAAUCAGAUGCCGCAGUGGCCACAACAGAUGCAGUUUUCGUACCAGUAUAUCCCACCGCCUGUUGGUCCUCCAAUCAAUUACCAACAGCAGCCUGCGAGGAGCAGCAGUGGGCAGAUUGGGGGAGCAUGCAGCCUGUGUAGUUGGGGCAACCUGGAACUAGUAAGUCCAAGAAGAAGCAGAAGGCUAAGACUCUGAAAAAUCAAGAAGCUGGCGCUGGGAUAAAUCAAACUUCUGACACUGUUGAUGAGGCAGGUAGCUAUCAGGUGGAUUCUAAGUUCAUUGGGGCUAUCUGCUACAACUGUGGGGUACUAGGUCACUUUGUUGGUAUGUGCCCUGUUCCUAAAGUUUGCUUCAUGUGUAAAACUCCUGGACAUCACAUGGAUGUCUGACCUGCUUGGUACAAGACCUACCCUGCUGCUCAGUAUUGGGGGAGUGCCAAUACAGGGCUGGGUUUCUUUCAUGUGGAAACAGGGGAAACAAAUGACAAUGAUUGGUUGAAUAUUGGUAAUGUGGGGUUGGUUAUAGUUGAAGAGGGAGCUAUCACUGCUGAGGAGCUGGGGCGAUGUUUUUCAGAUAUGUGGAAGACUAACUGGCCUUGGCAGAUAAGGCCAUUCAACAAAAGUAAGUUCCUUGUGAGAUUUCCUCCAAACAAAAGGAUUGCAAAAUUGGUGGAGUAUGACUCAAUCAACCUGAAGAAGAAAGGGGUUACAAUUUCCUUUGAAGACUGGCUAGGAGAUCUACCAUCAUAUGAUUCAUUAACAGAGACCUGGGUGGUGAUUGAGGGACUGCCUCCUAAAUAGUUUAGCUGGAACACCUUUGUGCAAAUAGCCACCAUUCUGGGGAUUCUGGUUAAUGUGGACUGGCACCUAAUUUUCAGAAGCUUCUAUGAAAAAGUGAGAAUUCAGGUGGCUGUCAGAUAUCCCAAGAAAAUUCCUACUGAUAGAGUAGUUGAAAUAAACCAUGAACUGUAUUUACUGAAGUUUACUAUGGAGGAGGAAGCAGUGGCUGGACAAAGUACUGAUGACCCAUCUGAUCCAAAGAAGGGAGAUAAAGGGACUGAUCAGGGAGAAUAGGAUGAAUUUGAAAAUGAUGAUCUCCUAGGGGAAGAUAUGGAUACUAGUCAUGAUAAUAAUGUCAGCAAGACAAAUCAUACCCCCCAUGCCUUCUGCUACUCCCAGACACAAGUCAAAGAGCAAUACUGUAUGCGCUGAUGAGGUAAAAUCAAGCCUAGAGAAAACAGUGUUUGCUAAACUACAAGAGGCUCCUAUAGCCAAGAGUUAUGUGGAAAUAGUGAAGAAGAAACCUGUGGAGAACAUUGGUGUCCAUCUCUUGCCUCAGUUUGAAGCUGUUGAAGGGAGAAGUGAUACUAAUGGACAAAAAUCUGAUGCUGCUACAAAGGAUAAAAAAGGAAAAUGGGGCCCUGUAGUAGCUACCAGAAUGAGUGAUAGGGUGAAGAGAGAUUGCAAACCUGCCCUGCAAAAAGCUCAAGAACUAAAGAGAAUGAGGGAUUUGGAAAUACCCAAAUACAAGCAGGAUAAAGGUGAACUAAAUGAAAUCUAGAGGAGGGAAGAGAUUAAAUCCAGACAGAGAUAUUCUAGAAGGAGAGCAGAACACACAGUAUUUUCAAGCGGUGGCUAAUCAAAAAAGAAGAAAGAAGCAGAUACUAAUGCUGGAAAGUGAAGAUGGAAUGGUCACAGACACUCCAGGGUGUGUGGAGAAAGAUGGCAGCUAUGCUAUCUGCAUGGGAGAUCCUAUACUCAGGGCUUGUCAAUGACAGAGUGCGUUGGCUGGUUGCAAGGCUGGAACAAAAGAUAAGAGAGCCUCCUCUGCUCAUGUGGCCGGACCCUGGGUAGGACAAAGAUGUUGCAAUGUGAUGAUCACUACGCCUGGUGGGGAAGAUGAACGCGGUGAACUUUCUCUUCCACCCCUGGAGGCCUGCACUGCAUGGCCAGUGAGCCUGAAGGAGAUGAUGUAACACCUCAAAUGGUGCGAUAAAUUUGUGUAAUUUUAGGCGUAUCAACUUGCCAGGCCGUGAGUGUGCGGCUUUUGGGUUCUUUCUGCUGUUUUAGUUCUGCUUUAGAGGAGUGGUGUAGAAGGGUAGCCUCUUUUAGUGCUGCCUAGUUGAGACUUGAGGAUGGUGUAAAACUGAAUUUGGUCUGGUUUCAUUGAUCAAUGCAAUGGAGCCGGGGCUCUCGAGCCCUUUUCCUCUAAAAAAUGCUCUA